RNAcentral lists this ribosomal RNA (433 nucleotides) under uncultured bacterium. Its description in RNAcentral is "partial 16S ribosomal RNA". It matches the Rfam family "Bacterial small subunit ribosomal RNA", at positions 29 to 507 of the family's 1533-position model. The record is from RNAcentral.
AGCGAACGCUGGCGGCAGGCCUAACACAUGCAAGUCGAACGAACUCUUCGGAGUUAGUGGCGGACGGGUGAGUAACACGUGGGAACGUGCCCUUAGGUUCGGAAUAACUCAGGGAAACUUGUGCUAAUACCGAAUGUGCCCUUCGGGGGAAAGAUUUAUCGCCUUUAGAGCGGCCCGCGUCUGAUUAGCUGGUUGGGGAGGUAAAGGCUCACCAAGGCGACGAUCAGUAGCUGGUCUGAGAGGAAGGUCAGCCACAUUGGGACUGAGACACGGCCCAAACUCCUACGGGAGGCAGCAGUGGGGGAUCUUGCGCAAUGGGCGAAAGCCUGACGCAGCCAUGCCGCGUGAAUGAUGAAGGUCUUAGGAUUGUAAAAUUCUUUCACCGGGGACGAUAAUGACGGUACCCGGAGAAGAAGCCCCGGCUAACUUCGUG